GCAUUUUUAUAAUUAGGGGUAUUAUUAAAAAAUUAUAAAUUUUUUUUAAUGAUAGUUGGUUCAAAUCCAAAAAUAUGCU
This 79-nucleotide transfer RNA is filed under the name Lithodesmium undulatum. RNAcentral describes it as "tRNA-Tyr". Lineage: Eukaryota; Bacillariophyta; Thalassiosirophyceae; Lithodesmiales; Lithodesmiaceae. The record is from RNAcentral.